AUUGAACGCUGGCGGCAGGCCUAACACAUGCAAGUCGAACGAGUGGCGGACGGGUGUGUAAUGUCGGGGAAACUGCUCGAUGGAGGGGGAUAACUACUGGAAACGGUCGCUAAUACCGCAUACCAUCGGAUGUGCCCAGAGGUGAUGAGCUAGUAGGUGGGGUAACGGCUCACCUAGGCGACGAGCCCUAGCUGGUCUGAGAGGAUGACCAGCCACACUGGAACGGAGAAACGGUCCAGACUCCGACGUGAGGCAGCAGUGGGGAAUAUUGCACAAUGGGCGCAAGCCUGAUGCAGCCAUGCCGCGUGUAUGAAGAAGGCCUUCGGGUUGUAAAGUACUUUCAGCGAGGAGGCGUUACUCGCAGAAGAAGCAUCGGCUAACUCCGUGCCAGCAGCCGCGGUAAUAC
This 406-nucleotide ribosomal RNA is filed under the name uncultured bacterium. RNAcentral's name for it is "partial 16S ribosomal RNA". It matches the Rfam family "Bacterial small subunit ribosomal RNA", at positions 30 to 526 of the family's 1533-position model. The record is from RNAcentral.